AUUGAACGCUGGCGGCAGGCUUAACACAUGCAAGUCGAGCGGGGGAAGGUAGCUUGCUACCUAACCUAGCGGCGGACGGGUGAGUAAUGCUUAGGAAUCUGCCUAUUAGUGGGGGACAACAUUUCGAAAGGGAUGCUAAUACCGCAUACGCCCUAAGGGGGAAAGCAGGGGAUCUUCGGACCUUGCGCUAAUAGAUGAGCCUAAGUCGGAUUAGCUAGUUGGUGGGGUAAAGGCCUACCAAGGCGACGAUCUGUAGCGGGUCUGAGAGGAUGAUCCGCCACACUGGGACUGAGACACGGCCCAGACGCCUACGGGAGGCAGCAGUGGGGAAUAUUGGACAAUGGGGGGAACCCUGAUCCAGCCGUGCCGCGUGUGUGAAGAAGGCCUUUUGGUUGUAAAGCACUUUAAGCGAGGAGGAGGCUACCGAGAUUAAUACUCUUGGAUAGUGGACGUUACUCGCAGAAUAAGCACCGGCUAACUCUGUGCCAGCCGCCGCCGUAA
RNAcentral lists this ribosomal RNA (501 nucleotides) under uncultured bacterium. RNAcentral describes it as "partial 16S ribosomal RNA". It matches the Rfam family "Bacterial small subunit ribosomal RNA", at positions 30 to 523 of the family's 1533-position model. The record is from RNAcentral.